UUGUGCCCAGAGUUUGAUUUUCCACAGACCAGGUAGAGGCCAAGAGCCUCUCACAGACUCUGCAGCAGGGUUGCUAUGAUUAACUCUUAAGUACUCCACAACUACACGCUUUUGAAACUGGCGUUGGCAUAGCGUUAGUUCUGUGCAGGGCGGACGCAGCAGGACAGAAUCUCCCUGGGCAUCUUUUCGGAGCAUCAAUUUUACUGCAAAAUUUUGAAAAAACAAAUUUAAUUGAUUUCCAAGGUUUGUCAAGGAGGACAGAAACUCAGAGCACCCUGCACUUGGGGAUCGGCACUAGGAGCUGCUCUCUGGAUGGGGAGAUGGGAGCUAGCAGCUCACAAUGGGGUCACAAGACAGGAGUGUUAUUGGGAGAAUCCUGUUUUGUUGACAAAUACUGAGAUCAUCCAACUCACCAGGCAAAGUUGACUUGUGUAAGUGAUCUUCAGAUAUGAAAAGUGUGGAACCCAGCUGCUCCUCCUCAGAUAGGCGACAUGACAAUUGUAGGCCUGGAGGGAGAUGAGUUGACAACAUCCCUUCCCUAUAACCACUUGUUGGAUCUGAUCUCACAUACACAGACUCACUCCAAAGACUGACCUGGGUGUCUGCUUCUCAGCUUCAUUAACAGUGGGUGCUCACAAGUCUAGUGGAGAGAAUGUCUGAGAAGAGGAGGACCUUGACUGCUCCUGAACCGGAGACCUCAGUAGUAACAGGAUCUUCUACACUGUAGCUGCUUCCAGUGUGAGCCAGACAAAUGUACUGAAUAUAGGCCUCAGAGGUGAUCCCACCACCUUCACAGCAAUGGUCCUUCCCCAGGAGCUUCCCCUGAGAAACGGGCCAUCCAGACCAUACUGCUGCUGAAUAAUGUCUCAUUGGAAAUCUCAACAUUCUUCAUUUAGAACACCACCGCCAAUAUCUACCAUAUGCCGGGAUUAUUGUGCAGG
This 941-nucleotide long non-coding RNA is filed under the name Homo sapiens (human). Its description in RNAcentral is "HSALNT0341087". The record is from RNAcentral. Lineage: Eukaryota; Metazoa; Chordata; Mammalia; Primates; Hominidae.